Molecule: long non-coding RNA, 1823 nt
Organism: Cygnus olor (mute swan)
Lineage: Eukaryota; Metazoa; Chordata; Aves; Anseriformes; Anatidae
Exons: 3
Source: RefSeq, a predicted model, not a curated record
AGUGGAGCGACUCCGCCCCGCAUGCUGGCAAAAUGAAAUGAAAAUACACCCGCAAAGCCCCCAAGCUAGUUCAAAACGCCCUGCUAAAUAAUUCAAGUGACCUGAGGUGCCUUCUGCUGGGGAACAGAAGGGAGGGGGCGUGUUGGAGUGGGCAGGCAGGGAGCCCUGCGGAGAGUGCUGGGAUGCACCUAUUAAAUGUACAACCAUCUGAUGACUAAAAUUUUAGAUUUUAUAGAGAUACAUAACAUAUUUUUGCAUUGCAGCUUGGGCGAUUACUUCGCACCCCGUAAGCAGCGGCUCAGCACGGAGGCCUGCAGCCACAGGGCAAGUGGCCGUGACCCUGUGAGACCUCCACGGCCCCUGGAGCCUGCAGCUCAGGCUUCCUCAUGGCAAGCCUCGAGGGAGGGGAAGGCCCGAGGGAAAAGGAUGUCAAAGUCCCACUGCCCAGUGUCAUCACAUUCAAAUCCCACAGUGACCUGUAGAGAGGGAAGUGAGAGAUGCUGAGAACAAGAGUUCAGAGGAGAACAUAGAGAACUUGCAGAAAAGAAGGGGAUAAGGCAAGUGCUUUCUUUGAACUACCUCUACCAAGGGCAUAAACAGAAAAGGGAUCAGAAAUAGUUUAAAUGAAGGGUGCUUGAAGAGACAUGGACACUAAAGAGAUGCAGGAUUCUUGCCUGCCAAAUCAUACAUGUCAUCUUGAUAGUCUUUUUGAAGGUAGAGUAAAGAAGAUUUGGGUUCUCUGUAUGAAUUUUGACCCCAAAGGUCAAAAAACUUGUUUUUUUUGCAAGGAAUAGGGAAGUAAUGCUGUACGUGACUCAUGUCAUCCCAGUACAGAGGUAAGGAAAGACUCAUCCCAGUACAGAGGUAAGGAAAUGUGUGAAAGACCUUGCGCAAAUAUAGAUACUAAAGUCACAUUACCCAUGUUACCAUGUUUUCCCACGUUCCCGUCUCCCUAGCAGCAGCCCAAGCCCUAACACAGCUAUGUUACCAUGAACUGUGUGGUCAUACCUACAUCAUAAAGUAAAGCAGCCAUAUCAAAUGUCAUCGUAUUUGUACUUCACUCAGAGGUCUGCAGUGGCCUGGAGCUGCAGUCCAUCAUGAGGUGAGUGGACUCUGUGACCAACCUAGGCUGUGUGCUUAAGAAAAAGGGCUGUAAACACAAAAAUUGCAGGGUAGGAAGGAUGCACAGAGGCAAGGGUCAGAGGAUUGUGGUAUUAGGGCCCUGCUGUGGAGUCAUGAAAGGGGGCACAAGGACUACAAAUAUAUUAGCCAAAACUGAAUUCUCUAACAUAGUAGUACUUUUUUUUCAGUACUAUUUGUGUAGCUUUCACUACUAGGGAAAAAUAUCAGAAAAGCUGUUUGGGCUACACAAAAUUUGUGGAAUUAUUUGAGAAACCAUUAAAUGAAGUUUGAAUGAUUUAUUUCUGUAUUGGAACAAGAAUCGCCAGCUGUGCUUUAACAGUUGCAAAGCUGCCAGUGGAGGAGUAUGAUUUAUACAUUGCUGAAUUACAUUGCUUUUAAUUUUAAAGGUCUAUUGUCAGUAUUCGUUUGAACUUCUGACUUUAUCUGGUACAGACAGCUUGGGCUGAGCAGAUGCUUCAGAUGAAAAAGAAAAAUGCCCAUAAUUAAACCCAAUAGAUAAAAAGAAAUUGUGCAUCAGGGAAACUGUUUCCUGAGUCCUGUGAAUUACUGACUGAAGCAUGUGGUUUGAUUACAGUUAUUGCCUUAAUGCAGAGUUUCAAGUCUUAAAGGCCUCAUGAGGACAAUGCAGGAAACCUGUUCUAUCUGCUGUGUAUGAAGGAAGGGGUAUGUGAACUGCUGUA